GUUACUAUGAGGCCUAAAUAUUUCACAAGGGAGAAUUUAGAUAUGUACUAUAUUAAAUGAUCUGUAUACAGCAAGUCGGAAUGCAUACACAGUUUUAUAUGUUUUUUUGCUCGACAUUAGAUUUGGAUUUACAUAUUGAAAAGCAGGUCAAUUCGUUUUUAAGUCAUAUUCAUAAGUUAUAACCAACACCUCUCUGUCUAUGUAUACUGAAGCCGUCAAAGAGAAUAAAUACUGUACAUGCAUUUUGUAAACAUAUUUGAUGUAUGUGUGUGUGUGAAUAUACACAAUACCUUAGAUGUAACCAUAAAAAUGCAUUAUAUCUCAGUCUGGACCGUUGACCAAAAAAAAAAAAAAUCUCAGUCUGGACCAUCGGUUUCUCACGAAAAAAAUGAAAAUCUUUUGACCAAUAAUUAUGUAAUUAGUAGUGGGUUAUUUGCCGGUGGGAGUAUCCGAUCAUUAAAUGCUUUUUACCCGGAUUUAUUUGCCGGUACGAAGUUGAAGGGCAGAGUGAAAACUUAAUGGCAAAUGAUGGCUCGAUGAUGCGGUUGGACAGAAGAAGAAACGACAGUGGCUUGUGUCGUUUUUAUUCGGGUAAAAAGAUAAUCAUAUAAAAAAAAGAUAAAUAAAAAUCAUUUGAUAAUGAUGUAAAUGGUUUUUCCCCCGAAGUAAUGUUGUAAGCUGUUUUCUGUAACGUACUGUUAUGUCUGAUGGGACCAUUCUCAUUUACUGUUGGACCCAUUUUAUUAGUAACCAACAGUAAAUACUUUAAGCCAAAUGGACAAAGGGC
Molecule: long non-coding RNA, 787 nt
Filed under: Brassica rapa (field mustard)
Lineage: Eukaryota; Viridiplantae; Streptophyta; Magnoliopsida; Brassicales; Brassicaceae
Description: long non-coding RNA (BRAP_LNC003975)
Source: RNAcentral